GACGAACGCUGGCGGCGUGCUUAACACUUGCAAGUCGAACGGAAAGGCCCUGCUUUUGUGGGGUGCUCGAGUGGCGAACGGGUGAGUAACACGUGAGUAACCUGCCCUUGACUUUGGGAUAACUUCAGGAAACUGGGGCUAAUACCGGAUAGGAGCUCCUGCUGCAUGGUGGGGGUUGGAAAGUUUCGGCGGUUGGGGAUGGACUCGCGGCUUAUCAGCUUGUUGGUGGGGUAGUGGCUUACCAAGGCUUUGACGGGUAGCCGGCCUGGGAGGGGGACCGGCCACAUUGGGAACGGGAUUCGGCCCAGACUCCUACGGGAGGCAGCAGUGGGGAAUAUUGCACAAUGGGCGGAAGCCUGAUGCAGCAACGCCGCGUGCGGGAUGACGGCCUUCGGGUUGUAAACCGCUUUCGCCUGUGACGAAGCGUGAGUGACGGUAAUGGGUAAAGAAGCACCGGCUAACUACGUG
This 468-nucleotide ribosomal RNA is filed under the name uncultured bacterium. Its description in RNAcentral is "partial 16S ribosomal RNA". It matches the Rfam family "Bacterial small subunit ribosomal RNA", at positions 28 to 507 of the family's 1533-position model. The record is from RNAcentral.